Molecule: ribosomal RNA, 261 nt
Filed under: uncultured bacterium
Lineage: Bacteria
Description: partial 16S ribosomal RNA
Rfam family: Bacterial small subunit ribosomal RNA
Source: RNAcentral
UGGCGAACGGGUGAGUAACGCGUGAGGAACCUGCCUCAAANAGGGGGACAACAGUUGGAAACGACUGCUAAUACCGCAUAAGCCCACGGUGCCGCAUGGCACAGAGGGAAAAGGAGCAAUCCGCUUUGAGAUGGCCUCGCGUCCGAUUAGCUAGUUGGUGAGGUAACGGCCCACCAAGGCAACGAUCGGUAGCCGGACUGAGAGGUUGAACGGCCACAUUGGGACUGAGACACGGCCCAGACUCCUACGGGAGGCAGCAUG